RNAcentral lists this non-coding RNA (148 nucleotides) under Nomascus leucogenys (northern white-cheeked gibbon). The record is from Rfam by way of RNAcentral. Lineage: Eukaryota; Metazoa; Chordata; Mammalia; Primates; Hylobatidae.
GCUGGGCGUGGUGGCGGGCACCUGUAGUCCCAGCUACUUGGGAGGCUGAGACAGGAGAAUUGUUUGAACCCGGGAGAUGGAGGUUGCAGUGAGCUGAGAUCGUGCCACUGCACUCCAGCCUGGGUGACAGAGCGAGACUCUGUCUCAA